Molecule: long non-coding RNA, 786 nt
Organism: Dermacentor albipictus
Lineage: Eukaryota; Metazoa; Arthropoda; Arachnida; Ixodida; Ixodidae
Source: RefSeq, a predicted model, not a curated record
GGCGUACCCGACGACCACGGCGACUGCAGCCACGGCGAGCGUGGAGCCGACGGCGAUGGGCACCGUCUCGUCCUGCGGGAACGGGUCCUGGACGCCGGCCAUGCGCACCUGGCUGCAUCGGUGCGCUGCGUGGAGGGGUGAUGGUGAAGAAGACCUGGAACUUGGCCAGUAUGCAGACCGUGCCAUCGGUGGCGUUCCAGACGCCGAACGAGAACUCCGGGAUGGGCGCCUUCGGAGGCACGAGCGGGGCUCCGGCCGCGGGCGCCGCACCGCCAGCAGCUGCCGGCCCUGCGGCCAGCAACGGCACGGGUGUUCAGCGCGCUUCCGACGCCCACACAGAGGGAGACUUCAGCCAGCUAUCGUAUACCUCUUUCCGGCGGCACACAUACGGUAUUAGUCGUGGUCGACGGCCAGGCCAGCCAGUCCCGGUCUACAAUGCUACAAAGGUGACCGAGAGUGGGAUCGAACCUUUCAGCACAGCAGCAGCAGCAGCAGCCUCAUUCUCUGUUAGACCAAGAUGAAACACAUUGUUCUCUCGUGCCAAAGUCACUCUUUGAGACCUCUGGCCCACGUGUCACGUGCCAAUUUACCGCCUCGUAACAGCUAGCGUUUCGAGACGCUGUGCUAGGCUGCACUGCCUUCGGCAUCGGUCCACAAUUUCGUCGGGCGGACACGUUCGAAGUGGGUGCAAUCCGAUUGUGAUGCCAUCGUCAUUAACAAACGAAACAAAAUCAUUAAAACAGCAACGUGGCUCUGCCAGAAAGAACUGUGGCGUGGUGGCUCGCA